UUAAGCGACUAAGCGUACACGGUGGAUGCCCUGGCAGUCAGAGGCGAUGAAGGGCGUGCUAAUCUGCGAUAAGCGCCGGUAAGGUGAUAUGAACCGUUAUAACCGGCGAUACCCGAAUGGGGAAACCCAGUGUGAUUCGUCACACUAUCAUUAACUGAAUCCAUAGGUUAAUGAGGCGAACCGGGGGAACUGAAACAUCUAAGUACCCCGAGGAAAAGAAAUCAACCGAGAUUCCCCCAGUAGCGGCGAGCGAACGGGGAGGAGCCCAGAGCCUGAAUCAGCAUGUGUGUUAGUGGAAGCGUCUGGAAAGGCGCGCGAUACAGGGUGACAGCCCCGUACACAAAAGCGCAUGUGCUGUGAGCUCGAUGAGUAGGGCGGGACACGUGGUAUCCUGUCUGAAUAUGGGGGGACCAUCCUCCAAGGCUAAAUACUCCUGACUGACCGAUAGUGAACCAGUACCGUGAGGGAAAGGCGAAAAGAACCCCGGCGAGGGGAGUGAAAAAGAACCUGAAACCGUGUACGUACAAGCAGUGGGAGCCCCACCACCAAAGCAUUCUCUGGUGUUGAAGGCCCUGCAAAGCAGCAUCGCGGUGGCGGAGCGUCGUUUGCGACGCCCAACACACAAAACAAGCGGUGAAUGCUUUGGGGUGGGGUGACUGCGUACCUUUUGUAUAAUGGGUCAGCGACUUAUAUUCUGUAGCAAGGUUAACCGAAUAGGGGAGCCGGAGGGAAACCGAGUCUUAAUUGGGCGUUAAGUUGCAGGGUAUAGACCCGAAACCCGGUGAUCUAGCCAUGGGCAGGUUGAAGGUUGGGUAACACUAACUGGAGGACCGAACCGACUAAUGUUGAAAAAUUAGCGGAUGACCUGUGGCUGGGGGUGAAAGGCCAAUCAAACCGGGAGAUAGCUGGUUCUCCCCGAAAGCUAUUUAGGUAGCGCCUCGUGAAUUCAUCUCCGGGGGUAGAGCACUGUUUCGGCUAGGGGGCCAUCCCGGCUUACCAACCCGAUGCAAACUGCGAAUACCGGAGAAUGUUAUCACGGGAGACACACGGCGGGUGCUAACGUCCGUCGUGAAGAGGGAAACAACCCAGACCGCCAGCUAAGGUCCCAAAGUCAUGGUUAAGUGGGAAACGAUGUGGGAAGGCCCAGACAGCCAGGAUGUUGGCUUAGAAGCAGCCAUCAUUUAAAGAAAGCGUAAUAGCUCACUGGUCGAGUCGGCCUGCGCGGAAGAUGUAACGGGGCUAAACCAUGCACCGAAGCUGCGGCAGCGACGCUGAUGCGUUGUUGGGUAGGGGAGCGUUCUGUAAGCCUGUGAAGGUGUGUCGUGAGGCAUGCUGGAGGUAUCAGAAGUGCGAAUGCUGACAUAAGUAACGAUAAAGCGGGUGAAAAGCCCGCUCGCCGGAAGACCAAGGGUUCCUGUCCAACGUUAAUCGGGGCAGGGUGAGUCGACCCCUAAGGCGAGGCCGAAAGGCGUAGUCGAUGGGAAACGGGUUAAUAUUCCCGUACUUGGUGUUACUGCGAAGGGGGGACGGAGAAGGCUAUGUUGGCCGGGCGACGGUUGUCCCGGUUUAAGCGUGUAGGUGUGUGUUCCAGGUAAAUCCGGUUCACUUUAACACUGAGGCGUGACGACGAGGCACUACGGUGCUGAAGCAACAAAUGCCCUGCUUCCAGGAAAAGCCUCUAAGCAUCAGGUAACACGAAAUCGUACCCCAAACCGACACAGGUGGUCAGGUAGAGAAUACCAAGGCGCUUGAGAGAACUCGGGUGAAGGAACUAGGCAAAAUGGUGCCGUAACUUCGGGAGAAGGCACGCUGACACGUAGGUGAAGUGAUUUACUCAUGGAGCUGAAGUCAGUCGAAGAUACCAGCUGGCUGCAACUGUUUAUUAAAAACACAGCACUGUGCAAACACGAAAGUGGACGUAUACGGUGUGACGCCUGCCCGGUGCCGGAAGGUUAAUUGAUGGGGUCAGCGUAAGCGAAGCUCCUGAUCGAAGCCCCGGUAAACGGCGGCCGUAACUAUAACGGUCCUAAGGUAGCGAAAUUCCUUGUCGGGUAAGUUCCGACCUGCACGAAUGGCGUAAUGAUGGCCAGGCUGUCUCCACCCGAGACUCAGUGAAAUUGAACUCGCUGUGAAGAUGCAGUGUACCCGCGGCAAGACGGAAAGACCCCGUGAACCUUUACUAUAGCUUGACACUGAACAUUGAGCCUUGAUGUGUAGGAUAGGUGGGAGGCUUUGAAGUGUGGACGCCAGUCUGCAUGGAGCCGACCUUGAAAUACCACCCUUUAAUGUUUGAUGUUCUAACGUGGACCCGUAAUCCGGGUUGCGGACAGUGUCUGGUGGGUAGUUUGACUGGGGCGGUCUCCUCCUAAAGAGUAACGGAGGAGCACGAAGGUUGGCUAAUCCUGGUCGGACAUCAGGAGGUUAGUGCAAUGGCAUAAGCCAGCUUGACUGCGAGCGUGACGGCGCGAGCAGGUGCGAAAGCAGGUCAUAGUGAUCCGGUGGUUCUGAAUGGAAGGGCCAUCGCUCAACGGAUAAAAGGUACUCCGGGGAUAACAGGCUGAUACCGCCCAAGAGUUCAUAUCGACGGCGGUGUUUGGCACCUCGAUGUCGGCUCAUCACAUCCUGGGGCUGAAGUAGGUCCCAAGGGUAUGGCUGUUCGCCAUUUAAAGUGGUACGCGAGCUGGGUUUAGAACGUCGUGAGACAGUUCGGUCCCUAUCUGCCGUGGGCGCUGGAGAACUGAGGGGGGCUGCUCCUAGUACGAGAGGACCGGAGUGGACGCAUCACUGGUGUUCGGGUUGUCAUGCCAAUGGCACUGCCCGGUAGCUAAAUGCGGAAGAGAUAAGUGCUGAAAGCAUCUAAGCACGAAACUUGCCCCGAGAUGAGUUCUCCCUGAGACUUUAGGUCUCCUGAAGGAACGUUGAAGACGACGACGUUGAUAGGCCGGGUGUGUAAGCGCAGCGAUGCGUUGAGCUAACCGGUACUAAUGAACCGUGAGGCUUAACCU
Molecule: ribosomal RNA, 3005 nt
Filed under: Salmonella enterica subsp. enterica serovar 4,[5],12:i:-
Lineage: Bacteria; Pseudomonadati; Pseudomonadota; Gammaproteobacteria; Enterobacterales; Enterobacteriaceae
Description: 23S ribosomal RNA
Rfam family: Bacterial large subunit ribosomal RNA
Source: RNAcentral